AGAGUUUGAUCCUGGCUCAGGACGAACGCUGGCGGCACGCUUAACACAUGCAAGUCGAACGAGAGAUGAGGAGCUUGCUUUUCUGAUCUAGUGGCGGACGGGUGAGUAACACGUGAGCAAUCUGCCUUUCAGAGGGGGAUACCGAUUGGAAACGAUCGUUAAUACCGCAUAACAUAAUUGAACCGCAUGAUUUGAUUAUCAAAGAUUUAUCGCUGAAAGAUGAGCUCGCGUCUGAUUAGCUAGUUGGUAAGGUAACGGCUUACCAAGGCGACGAUCAGUAGCCGGACUGAGAGGUUGAUCGGCCACAUUGGGACUGAGACACGGCCCAGACUCCUACGGGAGGCAGCAGUGGGGAAUAUUGCACAAUGGAGGAAACUCUGAUGCAGCGAUGCCGCGUGAGGGAAGAAGGUUUUAGGAUUGUAAACCUCUGUCUUCAGGGACGAAAAAAGACGGUACCUGAGGAGGAAGCUCCGGCUAACUACGUGCCAGCAGCCGCGGUAAUACGUAGGGAGCGAGCGUUGUCCGGAAUUACUGGGUGUAAAGGAAGCGUAGGCGGGAUCGCAAGUCAGAUGUGAAAACUAUGGGCUUAACCCAUAAACUGCAUUUGAAACUGUGGUUCUUGAGUGAAGUAGAGGUAAGCGGAAUUCCUAGUGUAGCGGUGAAAUGCGUAGAUAUUAGGAGGAACAUCAGUGGCGAAGGCGGCUUACUGGGCUUUAACUGACGCUGAGGCUCGAAAGCGUGGGAAGCAAACAGGAUUAGAUACCCUGGUAGUCCACGCCGUAAACGAUGAUUACUAGGUGUGGGGGGACUGACCCCUUCCGUGCCGCAGCAAACGCAAUAAGUAAUCCACCUGGGGAGUACGACCGCAAGGUUGAAACUCAAAGGAAUUGACGGGGGCCCGCACAAGCAGUGGAGUAUGUGGAUUAAUUCGAAGCAACGCGAAGAACCUUACCAGGUCUUGACAUCGUAUGCAUAGCUCAGAGAUGAGUGAAAUCUCUUCGGAGACAUAUAGACAGGUGGUGCAUGGUUGUCGUCAGCUCGUGUCGUGAGAUGUUGGGUUAAGUCCCGCAACGAGCGCAAUCCUUACUGUUAGUUGCUACGCAAGAGCACUCUAGCAGGACUGCCGUUGACAAAACGGAGGAAGGUGGGGAUGACGUCAAAUCAUCAUGCCCCUUAUGACCUGGGCCUCACACGUACUACAAUGGCUGUCAACAGAGGGAAGCAAAGCCGCGAGGUGGAGCGAACCCCUAAAAGCAGUCUUAGUUCGGAUUGUAGGCUGCAACCCGCCUACAUGAAGUCGGAAUUGCUAGUAAUCGCAGAUCAGCAUGCUGCGGUGAAUACGUUCCCGGUCCUUGUACACACCGC
This 1365-nucleotide ribosomal RNA is filed under the name metagenome. Its description in RNAcentral is "bacterial SSU rRNA". It matches the Rfam family "Bacterial small subunit ribosomal RNA". The record is from RNAcentral.